Molecule: non-coding RNA, 1823 nt
Organism: Nothobranchius furzeri (turquoise killifish)
Lineage: Eukaryota; Metazoa; Chordata; Actinopteri; Cyprinodontiformes; Nothobranchiidae
Source: RefSeq, a predicted model, not a curated record
AGCCAGGCCCAACAAACAUUCAUCGCGUCGCGGAGACUAAACCACAACAGCCUUCCCCGUCGAGAGACAAGAUGGGCCCGGAGCUGGCAAAGCCUCAGAAUUGAUUGAGGCUGCAGUAAAAAAAAGAAAAGAAGGGGCACAAGUAUUCAAGUAUUUAGAAGAUGCCACCUAAAAGAGGUAAUAUCAAUGAGGAAGAACUAGAGGACAUAAAGAAAUCUUUGAACUUUAUGUCAGAAGAGAUUACAACCAUUGCAAAACAACAAAAACUGAUAAUCAAUUUAACUGAGGAUAUUAAAGAAUUAAGAAGGCAAAGUGAGGAAAAGGACAAGAAGAUUACUAUGUUGGAAGUACGAGUGGCAGAAUUGGAACAAUAUUCGAGGAUAUCAGAUGUAAUAGUAACGGGUCUGGAAACCAAGCACCAGACAUAUGCACGAGCAGCAGCUGAAGAGAGAGGGGAGCCGCCUGAGCAAGAGUUGCGCUCCCUUGAAGAGCAGGCUCAAUGAACAAGUACAUUCAAGGAGGAGCUCACGCCAAAAGUUCAGAUCAGCCCUCCACCAGCAGUUCAAGAGCUCAAGAUCAGUUGUCAGCCAUCACGUCUGAACCUUCUACAACAUCACCCAGCCCUGACCAGGAAUAACAAAGUAAAGCACACCUACAGACCGAGCACAGCCCACAGCCAGCACUUCUGAAGGCAGAGUACAUCGACAUACAGGAAAGUUUGCCCCAACUGUGACAUGGUGUAGCGAUCAAGACUGGCAAGAUGGCGUCCACAACUGUGAUGAUCAUUUGCUACUGUCAAUACAUUUUUGCCUUGUGUUGAGGAAUGCACUGCAGGUUAGUUCAUGCUUUUACUUAUUAGUUGUGUAAAAAGUAAAGUUCAUAUCUACUAAAUUUAAAUUAAACGUUGACACAUUUGUCCAAAAAUAACUAAAAUAUUCUAAUUGUGUUCUCAUAUUUCUGCAAACUCAAGUGCACUCAAAUGUGUUUUUUGUAAUGUUGAAAAGAACUGCUGCUGUUUUGAUUUUUUUGAAACAAUAUCCUGUUGUUCCUCUCUUUGAGAAUAAAGUUUCUUGAAAAAUUGGUUGCAGUUUAUAUAAACAUGAGUCAAAUGAACUUAAUAAAAAAUCUAAUUACAGGUAAAACUCAAAACAUGAGAAUAUAGUGAAAAAGUUGAUUUAUUUCAGUAAUAAGACUCAUUCCAUACAAAGCCAGAUAUUUCAGCCUUUAUUUGUUAUAAUUGUAAUAAUUAUGGCUUACAGAUGAUGAAAACCCUGCAUUCAAAAAUUCAGACAAUUAGAAUAUUACAUUAAAAACAUCCAACACUGCUUUUAAAUAGAAAAUUGUCAGACAUAAGUACUUUGCAAUUGGUUUUGCUUUUACUAAAAUAAAUGAAUGUGCAACAUUCUAAUUUUUGGAGUUUCACAUGUUUUUAGAAAUUAUAUUGAUAUGAAACAAAAAUCCAUAAAAGUUGUUCUCAGCAGCUGUUCAACAGAGCCAUCCUUUUGGAAGUUAUUCUUUUUGCUAAAAUGGAAAGUUUUCUCCACACAUUUACCCAAUUUUUUCAUUAGGUUACAUGAUAACAUAACAAAAAAAUUAAAUCAGGACAACUCAUUUCAUUUGGAGACACAGGUGACACUUAGGAGAGCUGAUGUUACAUCUUUGGAGGAAUUAGGUUUAAAUAUCAGUUUUAAAUACUAUGAAUAGUCUCAUCAAACUCAAAUGGUUACAGUUUCCUACAAAUAGUAUAAAACUAGGCCAUUUGUAAAAAUCAUCCUCAUGAGAUUUCGAAUGACAUUGGCGUUUAAAAAAUACCACACUAAUUU